CCUACGGGAGACAGCAGUGAGGAAUAUUGGUCAAUGGCCGUAAGGCUGACCCAGCCAAGUCGCGUGAAGGACGAAGGAUCUCUGGUUUGUAAACUUCUUUUAUAGGGGAAUAAAGGUAUCCACGUGUGGAUAUUUGCAUGUACCCUAUGAAUAUGCAUCGGCUAACUCCGGGCCAGCAGCCGCGGUAAUACGGAGGAUGCGAGCGUUAGCCGGAUUUAUUGGGUUUAACGGGUGCGUAGGUUGUUUUUUAAGUCAGCAGGGAAAGAUUGUGGAUCAACCCUAAAAUUGCCGUUGAAACUAGAAGACUUGAGUGUGAUAGAGGUAGGCGGAAUGCGUGGUGUAGCGGUGAAAUGCAUAGAUAUCACGCAGAACUCCGAUUGCGAAGGCAGCUUACU
RNAcentral lists this ribosomal RNA (395 nucleotides) under uncultured bacterium. RNAcentral describes it as "partial 16S ribosomal RNA". It matches the Rfam family "Bacterial small subunit ribosomal RNA", at positions 338 to 730 of the family's 1533-position model. The record is from RNAcentral.